This is a long non-coding RNA of Labeo rohita (rohu), 4957 nucleotides long. RefSeq lists it as uncharacterized. The record is from RefSeq and is a predicted model, not a curated record. Lineage: Eukaryota; Metazoa; Chordata; Actinopteri; Cypriniformes; Cyprinidae. The transcript has 2 exons.
AUAUAUAUAUAUUGUAAUAAUUUAUUUAUUUAUUGGGCUUGCUGCCACCACCUUUAAUUCUUGCCAGUCAGGUCUGGCACCCAGGAGACAACACACCACCACAACGUCAAUCAAAAGAUUCUGUUUUUAUUCAGCACAAGGGGGAAAUAAAGGAUUGGCUAGCACACAACCCAAGAGCCUCGAGACUACAGGAUACCACGUGAAUUCCCUCUUUUCUCUAGUGACACUCAAGAUCAUUUACACAUAGUGGCACGUCAAGUCAUUUAGAACCUCCACAUCACACACGUGCAAAAAAGGAUAUCUUUCCCCUGAAAACUCUUUAGGCUUUAGUCACACCCACCCUCAUAUUCCCCCUCAAAUAAGAAGGAACAACUUUAUUUCAUACAACCACUAUUAAUAUGCAUAGGAAAAAGACUUAAAACCACUUAACUUGCCCCUUCCGACAUGGAGGGGGGUGAAUUCCACACCAUGUCAAUGCGGUAAGGAAGUUCCGCAGUUUUUCAGCACACUCGAACAGUCCGAGUGUCUCAGUAUGACGACAUAAUCCAAUCAUAAAUCAGCGCGAUCAAACAGUCCAACAAGAUCAGCUCAGUUGAUCAGUAACUUUCCUGCACGCUCAAGCAGUCCCAUAAGAUCAACGCUACAGCAACGUUCCACACUGCGGGCACACUCAAACAGUCCAAUUCAGUCAUCGUCCCGCACGCUCCAAUAGAAUCAGCGCUGCAGCAAAGUUCAACAAUGUAAAAGCACGUUCGAACAGUCCAGCUAAAUCAGUGCAGUGACGAAGUUCAGCAAUAUUCCAGCACGUAUUCCAGCAUAGUGGCAAACCACGGGACUCCUACCGCUCAACCUCUAACUACGCUCGCCCCGUUCCCACUACCUACCUAUCUUCGUCGCCGGCGGCCCUAACCGACCGCGAACGACACCCCCCUGCCCGAACAAUUGAGUGCCGCCGUUCUCUCUAGACAUAGGCUCCCCCACUCAUCUUUACUCCAUACUCCUUUUCAGCCUUUUUUUUCCCCGCCCCAAUCUCUAAUGUCCCCUCCCGGUGUUCCUCUUUACCAAUUAACUCCACCUAAUUAAUCAACACUACUACAUUUCCAAAACACCCCACAUUACAUUAUCCCCUCCCCCACUGGGGCAGACUCGUCCCCAAGUCACACAGGAGCCAUCUCAUAGUCCUGCGCCCAGGCAGGUCGACGUCACUCCCGUACUGGGCGCUGCGCUUUUAACUGAAAUAACGCCACUUCAGAGCCCUCCUUCAAUCCAUCUUGGUCCUCCUCUUGCAAUUCCGGCUCUUGGACCGGCUGUUGUCUAUGACCUGCAGGCACCGAUACUUCUUUCUGCAAAUUAGGGGAGACCUCUGGUGGCCGGCGAUGAACCCAACUGGCCCCCAAAGGGACCUCUGAGUGGUGCUGGGGCUCGGCCCCCACUUGAGGUAAAACCGUGGGUGCAGAUGUAUCUAUAACAGAAGAAAGAACAUAUGGUCUAAGUCUGUUAUGGUGUACCACAAUCUCAGGACCACCUUUCAUUAAAACCAUACGAUACAAUACAUCAGAAAGGCGUUCCAGAACUCUAUAAGGGCCCCUAUACUGCCUUGUAAUUUUGGCCAAAUGCCUCUUUUCUUUGCCUUAUCCCGCACCUACACCAAUUCCCCCACAGAAUAAAACUGCAACUCAGCCCGAAAAUCAAACAACUCCUUCUGGUGUUCCUCUUUACCAAUUAACUCCACCUAAUUAAUCAACACUACUACUUAUAUAUAUAUAUAUAUAUAUAUAUAUAUAUAUGUUGCUAAAGAUCAUCAAAUGAUUCUCAAGUCAAACUGUGUGUGUUUCAGGAUGCUGUGCCUUACAUUGCAUUACUGGGUUCUGGAGGAGGACAAAGAGCCAUGGUGGGUUUGCUGGGAUCCCUGGUUCAGCUCAAAAAAGCGGGUCUUCUGGACUGCAUCCUUUAUCUGGAGUCUCUGGAUCCACCUAGUGCAUGGCCUCCUUAUACCAAGAACCAGAUUGGUCGACCAAACUAGACACCGUGAAAGACAAAAUCAUCAAGAGACUCAACGGUCCUAAAGUUAGCUGGGGAGAUGCAUAUGCCAAACUGAAGAAAUAUUACUAUGGGAAAGACAUCUUCAGCUUGACUGAUAUCUGGGCAGUGAUAGUCAUCACAACAUAUGUGAAAGAGAUUUGUAACUGAUCAUAAUUAUUCACCAUCCUCUGCUAUAGAAAACAUACAUGCAGUUGGGUCUGAAGUCUAAGACCACAUUGGAAAUCUGAGAUUUAAAGGCUAAUCUGAAUAUAACUGAACUGCCCUGCUGAAAAAAACAGCUAAAACCAGGCUAGGCUGGUUGGCUGGUCUUAGCUGGUUUAAGCUGGAAGUAGCUGGUUUUAGCUGGUCUCCCAACCUGGCCAGGCUGGUUAGGCUGGUUUUAGCUGGUGGUCUAGGAAGUGGCAAAAACCCCUCUAAAACCAGCUAUGACCAGCCAAAUCCAGCCUGUUUUUUUUUUCAGCAGGGUGAACUCAAGCAUAGCUGAGAAUUAAUUGGUGAUUCAUUUUUUACGCUUGUUCUCUUUAUAAAGUCUCACUCACUGUAACCAUGAAGAGUUUCAGGUGCUUAUGGACUCCAUUCUAUAUUUUAUAUAUGUAAGCAAUAAGGUAUGAGAGGCUGUGCUGUAUUGUGAAAAAAUCAUGGCUGAAGGGCGUUGUUAGGCAUGGCGUGAAACAGACUGUCUGCUGUGCUGCUGAGUGGUUUGCAGUUACAGCUCUUCUCUGUUGGGAUCUAACUAUUACUCUCUGUUGUUUAAACUGCUAAAUAUAACUGAAUUAUUAGCAUAUUUCUGAUAUUAUCUAUCAAAACUUACUUGUACUUGAUAUAGUUCGCUUUUAAUCUAAAAUUGCUAACACAGUGCGUUGGCAUUCCAUUAACCUGUUAGCUUGUCACUCGCAUUUACUACUACACUCUCUCUCCCUCUCCAUUUUGUCUCCACUCUCGUUUACUACCAUCUCCUUUUCUCUCUGUAGCUCCGUUUCUCUCUCAAUAAAAUUCAAUUUAAUUCAAUUCAAAUGAGCUUCACUGAGAUGACUGUUGAACAUACCACAAUGUUGCCAAAGUAAUAAAUAUAUAUUAUACAAUCAUACAGAUAAAUUAAAAAUAAUAAUAAUAAAUAAACACAUACAGUACAUACAGUGCCUUUACCCCUUUUAAAUAGUUACUUUAUUUGUCAUACAGCCUGAAAUCAAACCCCAUUACAAAUAACUUUUCCUGUUUUAUUUACAAUUUUGGUCUUACAACAUCAAACCAAUGAAAGAAAAAACAAAACCAGUUUUGCAAUGUAUAAAAAACAAAAAAACUAGAAUAACAGGGUUGGAAAAGUCAUUAGUCCCUUGAUGUAAUACUUUGUAGAGCCUCCUUUUGCUUUAAUUACAGCCAUCAGUCAUUUUAGAUACUGUAUGUCUGUACUACCUUUGCACACAUUGACUGGGGAAUAUUUGCCCAUUUUCCCUUCAAUCCUGACUAAUUGCAGUUCCAGCAGAAGAGAAACAGACCCAAAACAUAAUGCUGCCACCAGCAUGCUUCACAGUAGGGAUGGUGUGUUUUGGGUGGUUUGCUGUGUUUGCUUUUCACUAAACAUAGCACUUGGAGUUCAGUCCAAAAAGGUCAAUUUUGGUCUCAUCAGACCAUUUCACCUUUUGCCAGAAGGAAUCAGGCUCUUCCAAAUGUGUUUUUGCAUAGCGCAAACGAGAAAGGCUUCUUUCGUGCCACCCUGCCAUACAGGCCAGCUUUCUGUAAGCUUGUGAGAUAGUUGUCACAUGCAUAGAUUGACCAGACCCAGCCGUAAAGCCUUGUAAGUCCUUCAAAGUUGCCUUUGGCCUCCUGGUAGCAUUUCUUAUCAAUGUUCUCCUGGCUCAUCUACUUUGGAUGGCCGGCCUGAGGCGAUGUGCAUGGUGGUGCCAUACGAUUUCCACUUCUUAAUGAUGCUCUGAACAGGGAUAGCUAAAGCCUUUGAAAUGUUUUUGUAGCCUUCUCCUAACUUGUGCCUUUUUACAACUUUAUCCCGAAGGUCGUUUGAAGGCACUUUCCCAACCAUGGUGCAUUCUUUGUCGAACAAUGCACUACUAACAGUGGGAUCUUCAAGAAACAGCUUGUUUUAUUCUGUAGUAAUCAACACCAAUACUAUUGAUGUCAGGUGGGGCAAUGAGCCUGGUGUUUAAUCUGGAAGUUGAUUGCUUGCACCUGAGCAAGUAUAAAGGUAUACUGUAUAUAUAUAUUUGUACUUUAAAGAUGGGGCUUAUAAUGUGUACAUGCAGCUCAAAAAAAAGUGUAAUGUGACAAAAGGUAAAAGUUUUCGGGUAUGAUGAUUUUCUAUUCAUACGGACCAUGUGAUGUCACAGUGCUUUAUCGCCGCCAUUUUUUGUCCGGGACAGCUGCGCUACCUGUUUCAGUCUUUAAACUUCUGCUCUAUCUCUGCUUUUACCUCUGGCUUGCUUAUUUGGGGACACUUAAUUUUCAGAGAUAUCAUUGAAUUGAUUGCACAGAUACUAUUUGAACUGAACUAAGCUGGAUGUUGACAUCACCGAAUCAAUGAUGAACUGACUUUAAAUAAAAAUUGAGUGUUUACUGUUGUGCUUUUGCCUCACUGACACACUCAUUAAUACUGUAAAACUGCUUUGACACAAUCUGUAUUGUUAAAAGCGCUAUAAAGAAAGGUGACUUGACUUCAGCUGUGAUUUAUUCACAAUACAACACAGCCUUUCGUACCUUAUUGCUUUUAUAAAACGGUUACCACACAAUUAAAAUUAUUAAAACCAAAAAUGUAUGUACUUAUAUGUUACUUUUGUUUGAACCAAGUUUGUUAAAUGCUGUCCUUCUGUCAAAAAAUUGUUUCUGGCAGUAACAGUAAAUGUUCCAAUGUAACACGCUUCAUUUUAUGGGGCUCAAAUAAAAACAGAGAAUUGGAACUCUU